AGGCUGAUUUAUCCUGUUUCUGAAUGAACAAGCGCAUUUCAGCAGCAUCUCCUGCAUUCCUGGACGCAUUUCUUUUUCUGUCAGAGUGCCCUGGCACUUCUUUUCCCGCUUUGGCUGAGCAAAUUUUCAACACUUCUUAAGUUACAACUUCAUCUUUCCUGCGUAGCCGAGGACGGGAGGUGAAGCAAUGCAUCAGCUGCCGUCUCCUCACUUCCCACCCUGCGUUCUCAGCUGACCUGAGAUGGCCUCCUCCCCAAAAAAAGAGAAGAACUCUUCUGCUUCCUGUGCCCACGAGGGUUGAAGACAGUCACCCAAGAUUCCGCAUGACUGCAAGUAUAAAUCUGACGGAAGUAAUUACCCAUCAUCCUCCAGGGGCCCGGAGCGCGCUUCCUGCCUCCUCUUCAACUUCGACGUAGUUCAACCUUUUUCCACUCAGAUGGGAGGAGAGUUGUGGUGCAUGAGCGGGCAAAGUCGUACUUGGAGUUAAUUGCCUCGGGCAGGUGAGGACAUCAGUUCCAGAUUGUGCCCAGACAGAUGGCUCUCUGGAGGAAGGUUCAAUCAACUAAUUGUGAAGUUCUGAUAGGACUGUGGGGAGGCGUUGACCUAGAGCCGGGGCUCAGGGACAUGAGGCGGCCUGAGGACCAAAUUAAAGUAACAUUUGUUUUAUAAGCUUGCUUCCAAAAUUUCCCAUCUCCCGUUUCACCCUCUCAGAUAUUUCUGCAACUCUAAACAUCCCUGUGUUUGUGUAUGCAGACUUUUUUGGAAUUCAGAGAUCAGGAAUACCGCUUUCAGCUAUGCAUAAACACAUGGACGUGCGGAGCAAGGCCGCGCUCAAGCAUUUGUCCUUGCUGCUGCCUCGAGCUGUGGCCUUAAUUGCCACGGGAGUUGAAGGAGGUGUAAAUAAAGUUGUUGACUGGGAUGAAAAUUCCUUUGCAAAAAAAAUAAAAAAUUAAAAUGAUUCCCAUACUCAUAGGGUUCUUGGACAGAAAGCAAAUGCAAAACGGGUUGUUUUAAAGAGCCCAGUCAAAACAAUAAACUUUCAGACACUUAUAUGUACAGUUAUAUAUCAAAAAUAUUAGAAUAUUGCAUAAAAGUGCAAUAUUUUUCACCGGUCCUCUCAGAAAGUGGAAGACAUUUUACAGAAAUUCAUUACACAUUUUUUUAUUUUUUAGCAGUUUUUGCUGAUUAUGGCUUACAAGCAAAGGGCACCCAAAAUUUAGUGUCUCAGAAAAUUAGAAUAGCACAUCAAAAUAAUAAGAAAAAAAGAUGUGCGAAUGUCAAGAACAUUUCAAUGUGCUCAGUACUUGAUUGAGCCUACUCUUGCAUGAAUGGUCAUUGAAGCAGCUUUUGGUACAUUUGUCAGUGUGGGCAGGUGCCACGUUCUGCUGGAAAAUAAAAUCUGCAUCUCCAUACAGUUUGAUAAAAGGGGGGGGGGGGGGGGGGGGGGGGAUGAAGAGGUCUAGAAUUUCCUGGUAGAUGGCUGCGUCUACCAGGAAACCAUAUGGCACGCCAGACCAUCACUGACAGUGGAAAAUUCCCACUGGUCUUCAAGCAACAUGAAUUUUAUGCCUCUCCACUCUUCCUCCAGGAAACAGGACUCUGGACGAUUGUGCAGCAGUCCCAUUUCUUUCCUCCUUAGGCCAGCUAAUUUCCUCUGAAGUUGUCUCUGGUUCAGGAGAGGCUUAACACGGGAAUGUGACAUUUAUCUAGUAUGUGUCUGUGCAUGGUGGCUCUCCUGAAAUGGAUUUUACUUGACUAUCCUCUCAUGACUGCAGUGCUCCCAGUUGCUGGUUCACCUUUUCCUACCACACUUCUUCCUUCCACUCAAUCUUCUGUCAAUAUGCUUGGAUAGAGAACUCUGUAGCCUUGCCGUUGCCUUCCUAUGUAUUUCCACUAAUCUUGCUUUACAGCUCAGUCUGUGCUUUCUUCCAUUCACUUGGAAUUUUCCAGUAAAAUUUCAACUUGGUCAAUCAGAAGAAGUUGUGAACGAUCACAUUGGUUUUCUGCACUACGAAGUCUGCCUGCAGUUUCAGCAGUGACAGCAGUGGAAGUGAACAAAGGCGUUCAAUCCAUGUUGGUGCACGCUUCCAAACCUUGAAUUAACAUUAACAGCAAUUUCCGGUAAGCUGCUCUAAAUAAAAGAAUGAGCAACAAUUUUGGUAAGACUUGAAGCUACCACUGCAUUGUAGUUCUACAAAGAGCAAAAUCUUGCUAUUCCAGUUUUUGCAGCAUUUAAUAAUGCUCAUCAUACAAUAGUCAAAAACAAAUAGGACUUUUAACAGUCCUUAGAUUUUAAACCGCUGCUACAAUUUUUAGCUGGUGAACAUGCACCCGUAGCUUUCUAACAAUGUUGCUUUUUUGAUCGUCAGCUUCUCCAUUUCUGUGACUGGGAGAGAGCUGGAUUCCUGCUCGAACCCAGCAAAGUUGAUUGGCGAUCGAUCACUCAUGAUGUGAGAUUCUCCCACUUGCUAAACAGGAGGGGGGAAAUGCAUUAUGAUUUAACAUCAGCAUUAUAGAUGUCACCAACAACCUAAUCAAUCAAAAAGCUCAGUUUUUGUCAUUUUUUUGCAAUUUCCCUUCAUUGAAUUAAUUUGUUGUGUGUCAAGAAUGAAAAAGGAUUCAGUGAGUUCUCAAAUUGAUGCCGUAACGGAAUACACUGAAAAGAUUGUUUUUGUCAACUGAAUAUAAUAUUGGUUAAUUACCUUAUCUUCAGAUUGAUAUCUAUUACUACACAAAUGUACGUUUUAUAAAGGGUGGAGAGAGCAAUGUCCAACAUAGCUAUAUCAAAUUAAUCUAAAUCCCUCCAUCCAUUUUCUGUACAUCCUUGUCACUAAUGGGGUCAGGAGGGUUGCUGGUGUCCAUCUCCAACUAACGUUCUAGGGGAG
Long non-coding RNA from Xiphophorus couchianus (Monterrey platyfish), 2885 nucleotides. RefSeq lists it as uncharacterized. Lineage: Eukaryota; Metazoa; Chordata; Actinopteri; Cyprinodontiformes; Poeciliidae. The record is from RefSeq and is a predicted model, not a curated record. The transcript is spliced from 3 exons.